ACAGAAGCCAUCGUCCGCACAUG
Molecule: non-coding RNA, 23 nt
Filed under: Cricetulus griseus (Chinese hamster)
Lineage: Eukaryota; Metazoa; Chordata; Mammalia; Rodentia; Cricetidae
Source: RNAcentral